Molecule: ribosomal RNA, 164 nt
Filed under: uncultured bacterium
Lineage: Bacteria
Description: partial 16S ribosomal RNA
Rfam family: Bacterial small subunit ribosomal RNA
Source: RNAcentral
UAGGGAAUCUUCCACAAUGGGCGAAAGCCUGAUGGAGCAACGCCGCGUGUGUGAUGAAGGGUUCCGGCUCGUAAAACACUGUUGUAAGAGAAGAAUGACAUUGAGAGUAACUGUUCAAUGUGUGACGGUAUCUUACCAGAAAGGAACGGCUAAAUACGUGUCAG